CUGGCGGCGUGCCUAACACAUGCAAGUCGAACGAUCUUUGAUUAUAGCAAUAUCUAUAAAGAGGAGUGGCGAACGGGUGAGUAACACGUAGAUAAUCUGCCUUCAGACGGGGACAACUCAGGGAAACUUGUGCUAAUACCCGAUGAGACCACAAGAAGGGAUUUUUGUGGCCAAAGGCGGGCAGCAAUGCUCGUGCUGAAAGAUGAGUCUGCGUCCUAUCAGCUAGUUGGUGGGGGUAAAUGCCUACCAAGGCUAAGACGGGUAGCCGGCCUGAGAGGGUGAACGGCCACACUGGGACUGAGACACGGCCCAGACUCCUACGGGAGGCAGCAGUGAGGAAUUUUCCGCAAUGGGCGCAAGCCUGACGGAGCGACGCCGCGUGAGGGAUGACAGCUUUCGGGUUGUAAACCUCUUUUAUUAAGGAAAAAGAUCUAUAUGCUAAUAUCAUGUAGAUUUGAUGGUACUUAUUGAAUAAGCCCCGGCUAACUACGUGCCAGCCGCGGC
RNAcentral lists this ribosomal RNA (504 nucleotides) under uncultured bacterium. Its description in RNAcentral is "bacterial SSU rRNA". It matches the Rfam family "Bacterial small subunit ribosomal RNA", at positions 36 to 518 of the family's 1533-position model. The record is from RNAcentral.